GGGGGCGUACUGGUUUCGACGGGGACAUGGGUGCGGGAAUAGCGGGCGGAUGGGCCUGUCAUCCGAAAAACGGGCAACUUAUAAAUUAAAGAACAACGACAACGAAGUUCUCGCCGCUGCUUGAUCAGCGGCCGUCCAACCCGGAAGGACCACGAGCCGGACUUGGGCGUGAUCUAAGUGGUGCACGUGACUGGAGUAAGCUUUGCCUCCAGCAUGCACAAUGAAGCUACCAACCCAUGAAGCAUGACGGCUUGCGUCAUGGCACGGGAAUGUAAAUAACCGUCUGCGCCCGGAGAGGUUCCCGAGGAAGUGUUUUCGGACGGGGGUUCAACUCCCCCCGCCUCCACCA
RNAcentral lists this transfer-messenger RNA (349 nucleotides) under Firmicutes bacterium CAG:114. It matches the Rfam family "transfer-messenger RNA". From Rfam's summary of the family: Bacterial tmRNA, also known as 10Sa RNA or SsrA, is named for its dual tRNA and mRNA-like properties. Its role is to liberate the mRNA from a stalled ribosome. The record is from Rfam by way of RNAcentral. Lineage: Bacteria; Bacillati; Bacillota. RNAcentral also lists the same sequence under 3 other names.